GUGUGUGUGUGUGUGUGUGUGUGUGUACGCGCGCGCGCACGCAUGCAGUGAGCAUUCAAGAGAUAAUGGUGUCUCUUAUGGUGAGAUCAGCCUACCUAAGGUUCCAGGUAGACUUAAUGAGUCCUGCAGUGAUAUGAGGGACAAGGUUUUUACUGGGGUCCAGGUAAUCAAAGUGUGUUUUUCAGGUCACUGUUAAGAUACCAUGGUAAGCCUCAUGCAGAUCAUUAAAGGGAUUUUGCUUGGAUCUGGGUAAGUGAUGAUGAUAGUCUUUUCCAUGCAGUAGGCCAUCUAAUAUUCAGAAUAUCUAGAUAAGUACAGAUGGUGUUCCUAACUCUGUGUUGCUGAUUUUUUUCAGGUAUUCCGCUAAGAAAUGAUAUUGUCAAUCAAUGCUGACACACCCGCUCAAGAAGAGAUCAUGGCUCUAUUCAAGGUCUCGUCCCUGGAACUUUGCAGAUUCCAUUUAAGAGAUGGUGGAGAACCUCGUGUGGUAUUAAAGGCAAAGUUUUACUUGCACUUAAGUACAAGACAGUGGUGUUUAUACCAGAGCUGGAGCUCGUGAGAUUGUGCAGAUUUCCAGGUAGAGAGGGUCGGUGUUUUAAGCCAACAUAGUGGCCGUGUUUAUUUGUCAGUAUUCUUAUGCUGUAAGUAGUGAUCGGGGAAAUUUUGCAGAUACCCUGUCACACUGUGAAGGCAUCUCUAACUAAGGUGUUUUUUCUUGGAAAUUUGUAGGUGUCCAGGUAAGAGCUGAUGGUGGCCCUAAUCCAGAUAACGACCGUGGGAUUUGCAGUUAUCCAAGCAAGAGACGACACGCCCCUACUGUGAUCUUGAAUCCCCUGCACAUUUCUAGGUAUCCAGAUUUUUAAGGUAUUCUGGGAUGAGAUGGUGAUGUUCCUAACGACACUAAUGAUGACAGGAGUUUGUACAUAUCCACUCAAGAGCUGAUGGCAUCUCUCGCAACGUUGGUGGCCGUGCAAAUGAAAGAAAUGGAAUGCUUUUUUUUUUUUUUUUUUUUUUAAUUUUUGGAACUAUUUGAUUUGUUAGAAGAAUUAUGACAUUCAAUGACUAUUAAAUAUUAUUCAAAAUUG
Molecule: long non-coding RNA, 1085 nt
Organism: Hyaena hyaena (striped hyena)
Lineage: Eukaryota; Metazoa; Chordata; Mammalia; Carnivora; Hyaenidae
Exons: 4
Source: RefSeq, a predicted model, not a curated record